GUGAGAAGCCCCAGCCGCUGCCCUCCAACUUCAGAAGAAAACAAGCAUCAAGAUUAGACUGCGGCUCUGUCACACAGCUAGGCUGGGAGGGAGAGCGGGAGAGAUCGAGGGAGCGCAUCUGACGCAGGGAACACUCGAUAAUUCCCAUGCGUCCCCGAUCAUCAUACCCUAGUUUCAUGUCUGCGCCAUGAUGGCAAGGGAGUUAUGCAGUUCUUCUCCCGCUUUUCCUCUCUUACAACAUUAGGCAAGAAGAGAAUCUUCAAACUGUGAGAGCAAAGCGCGCAGUGUAGUUUGUUACGUAACGCGCGCACCCACUGAUCUAUUUUUAAUGCGCCCUGGCUCCCAACUGUUCUGCACGAGUAGCUCUUGCGUAGGUAUAUUUGCCUUUGCAGACUGUGUGUGAGCAAAGGGGUGGUGGUGACCAUUGAACAUAUGGAUGCUGUGUGUAUUCGAUAUUCUGGAGAUGCUGCCUGUAUUAUUGCGUUUGGAAUAAAGCACAGAUACAAACUGACAGGGGAGGGAGAGAGCCCCUCAACAUGAAAACAACAAAAAUGGCAAUCGCACAACCCCAAAUCCUCCCCAUGCCGCCAUCCCAGAUUUUUUUCCAGUAGAGAUGAGAGGCGGUCUUUUAUGAAAAACACCCUAUUUGUCUGCCAGGCGAGGUGACGUAAGGUCGUGUUGUUCUGUUCGGUGGCACUACAUUGUACCGGUGACGCAGCUUUUCCAGGAAUGGAUGAUCGAGAGAGGGUUGAUGGGAUGCUUUAGACACCUACUAACUCAAUGAACCCCCCUUAAUACUGAACCACAAUGGACCGAUGGAGGGACGGAUGGAAGGAUGGUCGGAUGGAUGUACCAUUUGGAAUUGGUCCACAGACGACGCAAUCGCAAUCACACUGCACACUGCCCUAACCCAUCAAGAGGAAUACCUAUGUAAGAAUGCUGUUCAUUGAUUACAGCUCAGCAUUUAACACCAUAGUACCCUCCAAACUCGUCAUUAAGCUCGAGACCCUGGGUCUCGACCCCGCCCUGUGCAACUGGGUCCUGGACUUCCUGACGGGCCGCCCCCAGGUGAUGAAGGUAGGUAACAACAUCUCCACCAUGCUGUUCCUCAACACCGGGG
RNAcentral lists this long non-coding RNA (1120 nucleotides) under Salmo salar (Atlantic salmon). RNAcentral describes it as "lncRNA (ENSSSAG00000095481.1)". Lineage: Eukaryota; Metazoa; Chordata; Actinopteri; Salmoniformes; Salmonidae. The record is from RNAcentral.